RNAcentral lists this transfer RNA (73 nucleotides) under Ovis aries (sheep). It matches the Rfam family "tRNA". From Rfam's summary of the family: Transfer RNA (tRNA) molecules are approximately 80 nucleotides in length. Their secondary structure includes four short double-helical elements and three loops (D, anti-codon, and T loops). Lineage: Eukaryota; Metazoa; Chordata; Mammalia; Artiodactyla; Bovidae. The record is from Rfam by way of RNAcentral.
UCCCUGGCAGUCUAGGGGUUGAGACUCUGCACUCCCAGUGUAGAGAGCACAGGUUCAAUCCCUGGUUGGGGAA